AAAACAAAACAACCCCACUCCUUUGCUAAGGUUUUUGAACCCCGCCUUAACCAGCGCCAUUUCAACACGCCUCAGCUGCAGUUCCACCGUGAAUGGUGGUCGGAGACGCUCCACAUUAGGCUUUUAGCCUCUUUUGAGCGGAUCCGAAGGCAAAGGUAACUCCCCCUUUUCCCUUUUCUCCCUAUUUCUUAUGCUAUUUUAAACUAAAUCUAAAGCAGAGAAAGAAAACGAAAAAAAGAAUCGGUCACUACCUUCCAUCUCUGUUUUUGUAUUUUUUAUAAUUUGUGGAUACAGAAUGCCUGUUUUCUUUUUUUUCUUUUUUGAUUUGUGUGUAUAAUCUCCUUUUACAUAUUUGUAAACGGCUUUAUAUAGCCGAAUCAAUUAAAAAAAUUACCGAAAAUUUUUAUAUUUUCUCUAUCUUAUCUGCUGCUAUUCUGUUAUUGCCUCCAGUGCUUUCUCCUGCUAGUUGUUUGAAUUUGUUGCAGGUGUGGAGGUACGGCGCGCUGGGCUGCUGUUGGGGCGUGCGGUGGCUGAGGCUCGGUUGCUGCCUCGGGUUUCUGUUAGUAUUGGGUUACUGGGCCUCUAUCGAUUAGGUUAGGGGUUUAGGUUUAAUUGGGCUGGGGUAUUAAUUUUUGUAUUGGGUCGAGUUAGUGGGUUUUGGGUUUAUUAUUUUGGCUUUAAAUUUUGGCUGUAAUCUGAGCUGGACAUUCAGUUUGGUUUUUAUAUUUAUUAAUUGAGCCCGGGGCAAAAUUAGGUAUUACAAUUCCGAUAACUUCAGCAGAAAAAGAGACAUUUACUUAUUACAAAGAUGGUGCGACUUGAUUAUUAUUAUUAUUAUUAUUAUUAUAUACAUUACUUUAUUUAUUAUUUACUUUUUUAUUUACUUUACCACUCUCAGUCUUGUUGUUUUUUGUGAAACUUA
Molecule: long non-coding RNA, 922 nt
Filed under: Gossypium raimondii (Peruvian cotton)
Lineage: Eukaryota; Viridiplantae; Streptophyta; Magnoliopsida; Malvales; Malvaceae
Description: long non-coding RNA (GRAI_LNC009780)
Source: RNAcentral